RNAcentral lists this long non-coding RNA (345 nucleotides) under Coturnix japonica (Japanese quail). Its description in RNAcentral is "lncRNA (ENSCJPG00005012294.1)". The record is from RNAcentral. Lineage: Eukaryota; Metazoa; Chordata; Aves; Galliformes; Phasianidae.
CUGCAUUCCUUUGGACAGCUUUGCUCAUUCCACUGCAAGGCAAAGCUCCACAGAUUUGUAGGAAAAUAUCCAACGGUUUGUUUUGCAGAGCGAGGCUGUGCAGUAGUUUGUUGUAAUUGGCAUGUGAGGCUGGGACAGAAAGGCAGCCAACUUCUGCCAAUUUAUCCUGCUCCGGCAGCAUCUCCCGUGAGCUGAUUGCUAGCAACGUGCAGUGCUGCUCUCAUCAGCUACCUUUGAACUGCUCUGGAUGGAAGCAAGAAAGCAAUCACUGCGUGCUGCGGGCAGGGCGAGGCAGGAGGUUAUUUACUGGGAAUAAGAAAAGAAUGAGUUCUAAAGAGAUGUGAU